This 1137-nucleotide ribosomal RNA is filed under the name Staphylococcus aureus. Its description in RNAcentral is "partial 23S ribosomal RNA". It matches the Rfam family "Bacterial large subunit ribosomal RNA", at positions 89 to 1227 of the family's 2925-position model. Lineage: Bacteria; Bacillati; Bacillota; Bacilli; Caryophanales; Staphylococcaceae. The record is from RNAcentral.
UAAGUAAGCUUUGAUCCAGAGAUUUCCGAAUGGGGAAACCCAGCAUGAGUUAUGUCAUGUUAUCGAUAUGUGAAUACAUAGCAUAUCAGAAGGCACACCCGGAGAACUGAAACAUCUUAGUACCCGGAGGAAGAGAAAGAAAAUUCGAUUCCCUUAGUAGCGGCGAGCGAAACGGGAAGAGCCCAAACCAACAAGCUUGCUUGUUGGGGUUGUAGGACACUCUAUACGGAGUUACAAAGGACGACAUUAGACGAAUCAUCUGGAAAGAUGAAUCAAAGAAGGUAAUAAUCCUGUAGUCGAAAAUGUUGUCUCUCUUGAGUGGAUCCUGAGUACGACGGAGCACGUGAAAUUCCGUCGGAAUCUGGGAGGACCAUCUCCUAAGGCUAAAUACUCUCUAGUGACCGAUAGUGAACCAGUACCGUGAGGGAAAGGUGAAAAGCACCCCGGAAGGGGAGUGAAAUAGAACCUGAAACCGUGUGCUUACAAGUAGUCAGAGCCCGUUAAUGGGUGAUGGCGUGCCUUUUGUAGAAUGAACCGGCGAGUUACGAUUUGAUGCAAGGUUAAGCAGUAAAUGUGGAGCCGUAGCGAAAGCGAGUCUGAAUAGGGCGUUUAGUAUUUGGUCGUAGACCCGAAACCAGGUGAUCUACCCUUGGUCAGGUUGAAGUUCAGGUAACACUGAAUGGAGGACCGAACCGACUUACGUUGAAAAGUGAGCGGAUGAACUGAGGGUAGCGGAGAAAUUCCAAUCGAACCUGGAGAUAGCUGGUUCUCUCCGAAAUAGCUUUAGGGCUAGCCUCAAGUGAUGAUUAUUGGAGGUAGAGCACUGUUUGGACGAGGGGCCCCUCUCGGGUUACCGAAUUCAGACAAACUCCGAAUGCCAAUUAAUUUAACUUGGGAGUCAGAACAUGGGUGAUAAGGUCCGUGUUCGAAAGGGAAACAGCCCAGACCACCAGCUAAGGUCCCAAAAUAUAUGUUAAGUGGAAAAGGAUGUGGCGUUGCCCAGACAACUAGGAUGUUGGCUUAGAAGCAGCCAUCAUUUAAAGAGUGCGUAAUAGCUCACUAGUCGAGUGACACUGCGCCGAAAAUGUACCGGGGCUAAACAUAUUACCGAAGCUGUGGAUUGUCCUUUGGACAAUG